CUCUAGUUGCAAGCAUAUUCAAUUUACUUAAUCAAGUCUCAUUCAAUAUAACAGCAUUAAGACUCAUUGUAUUGAAUUGCAUACUUGGGUAAACUUAGACUAAUCUUUUAUUGAGUCCGCUGCUUAAUAGUUAAUUAGAUUAGAAUCAUACUCUUGCUAAGUUUAAAUUCCACUAUGCAUCCAUACAACUUAGCUUAAUUAACUCUAAAAGAUUAGAAGUAGU
RNAcentral lists this long non-coding RNA (223 nucleotides) under Phoenix dactylifera (date palm). RNAcentral describes it as "long non-coding RNA (PDAC_LNC021702)". Lineage: Eukaryota; Viridiplantae; Streptophyta; Magnoliopsida; Arecales; Arecaceae. The record is from RNAcentral.